GACGAACGCUGGCGGCGUGCUUAACACAUGCAAGUCGAACGGAAAGGCCCUGCUUUUGUGGGGUGCUCGAGUGGCGAACGGGUGAGUAACACGUGAGUAACCUGCCCUUGACUUUGGGAUAACUUCAGGAAACUGGGGCUAAUACCGGAUAGGAGCUCCUGCUGCAUGGUGGGGGUUGGAAAGUUUCGGCGGUUGGGGAUGGACUCGCGGCUUAUCAGCUUGUUGGUGAGGUAGUGGCUUACCAAGGUUUUGACGGGUAGCCGGCCUGAGAGGGUGACCGGCCACAUUGGGACUGAGAUACGGCCCAGACUCCAACGGGAGGCAGCAGUGGGAAAUAUUGCACAAUGGGCGGAAGCCUGAUGCAGCAACGCCGCGUGCGGGAUGACGGCCUACGGGUUGUAAACCGCUUUCGCCUGUGACGAAGCGUGCGUGACGGUAAUGGGUAAAGAAGCAACGGCUAACUACGUG
This 468-nucleotide ribosomal RNA is filed under the name uncultured bacterium. Its description in RNAcentral is "partial 16S ribosomal RNA". It matches the Rfam family "Bacterial small subunit ribosomal RNA", at positions 28 to 507 of the family's 1533-position model. The record is from RNAcentral.